RNAcentral lists this ribosomal RNA (237 nucleotides) under uncultured bacterium. Its description in RNAcentral is "partial 16S ribosomal RNA". It matches the Rfam family "Bacterial small subunit ribosomal RNA", at positions 99 to 334 of the family's 1533-position model. The record is from RNAcentral.
CGAACGGGUGAGUAACGCGUGAGGAACCUGCCUCAAAGAGGGGGACAACAGUUGGAAACGACUGCUAAUACCGCAUAAGCCCACGGCUCGGCAUCGAGCAGAGGGAAAAGGAGCAAUCCGCUUUGAGAUGGCCUCGCGUCCGAUUAGCUAGUUGGUGAGGUAACGGCCCACCAAGGCGACGAUCGGUAGCCGGACUGGGAGGUUGAACGGCCACAUUGGAACUGAGACACGGUCCAA